This 1150-nucleotide long non-coding RNA is filed under the name Macaca fascicularis (crab-eating macaque). RNAcentral describes it as "lncRNA (ENSMFAG00000065380.1)". Lineage: Eukaryota; Metazoa; Chordata; Mammalia; Primates; Cercopithecidae. The record is from RNAcentral.
UGCCUCCUCAGGCCUGGCGGGUGCCCCUCCUAGUCUCCCCCAGGCUCCCCAGAUGCUCCUUGAGGGAACGUGCCCACCGUGUCCACCCUGUGAUCCCUGCACCUCACACCUAUCCUGAAGCAAAAUAAUCAGUAGUUAAAUAAGAGGAGGAGGGCACAUUACGGGCUGUGUGUGUGACGAGUAGCUGUUGGGAGCAGGCUUCCUGCGCACAAAGCUGCAACAUCUGUGGCUUUGUGUGUGGAAAGCGCCUGUCACUGAGGCAGGCCUGCCUCCACAUCAACACGCUGGGCCAGGACUCAGUGGGGACGGGGCCCCCAGGUUGCGGGGUGCUGCCACAACCAUCCUUCCAUCCAUCCACCACCUGCCCACAGCCAAGAAACAGGCAGAAGUGCCCAGCAAGGCAUGGUGAGCCAUACCAAGGAAAUGCAAGCCCCCAACAGCUGUCAGUCUUAUUCCACUACUGGAUUCUCAAUGUCUAGAACAGUGCCUGGCAAACAUGUGGCUUAACAAAGAUUUGUUAAAGGGAUGGGUAAGUGGAUAAAAGCAAACCUGUAUCCCUAACUGGUGGGUGAGAAAUGAAAAAAGCAACAGCCCCACACCAAAGGCACAGUGGAAGGCCUUAGAAUGCUCCCCUGAGAUCUGUCUAGACACGGGCACUGUGGAGGGAGAGGGCCCACGUCCCUGUCACGAACAGUGAUAGGCAGUGUGCAGAAAACACGCUAACAGGAGAGUCAGCUAAAUCCAACCGAACGACACCUUAGCCUCACGACAGGUUCCCUUCUCUCUCUCAGUUCUCUCUUAGGGCUCAGACUCUCGGUGACAGCAGUUUUUUUUCUUGCAACCUCCACCUCCCUGGUUCAAGUGAUUCUCCUGCCUCAGCCUCCCAAAUAGCUGGGAUUACAGGCACAUGCCACCAUGCCCAGCUAAUUUUUAUAUUUUUAGUAGAGAUGGGGUUUCACCAUGUUAGCCAGGAUGAUCUGAAUCUCCUGACCUUGUGAUCUGCCUGCCUCAGCCUCCCAAAGUGCUGGGAUUACAGGCAUGAGCCACUGUGCCUGGCUGGCGACAGCAGUUCUUUUUGCUGAACAGCAUGAUGUAGUCUGCAGUCCUUUUCACCUCUUUUAUCAUCUUGAUUUUCUGCCCGCACCCCCAG